AGAGUUUGAUCAUGGCUCAGAUUGAACGCUGGCGGCAGGCCUAACACAUGCAAGUCGAGCGGAAACGAGUUAUCUGAACCUUCGGGGAACGAUAAUGGCGUCGAGCGGCGGACGGGUGAGUAAUGCCUAGGAAAUUGCCCUGAUGUGGGGGAUAGCCAUUGGAAACGAUGGCUAAUACCGCAUAACGCCUACGGGCCAAAGAGGGGGACCUUCGGGCCUCUCGCGUCAGGAUAUGCCUAGGUGGGAUUAGCUAGUUGGUGAGGUAAUGGCUCACCAAGGCGACGAUCCCUAGCUGGUCUGAGAGGAUGAUCAGCCGCACUGGAACUGAGACACGGUCCAGAUUCUUACGGGAGGCAGCAGUGGGGAAUAUUGCACAAUGGGCGCAAGCCUGAUGCAGCCAUGCCGCGUGUUUGAAGAAGGCCNUUCGGGUUGUAAAGCACUUUCAGUCGUGAGGAAGGUAGUGUAGUUAAUAGCUGCAUUAUUUGACGUUAGCGACAGAAGAAGCACCGGCUAACUCCGUGCCAGCAGCCGCGGUAAUACGGAGGGUGCGAGCGUUAAUCGGAAUUACUGGGCGUAAAGCGCAUGCAGGUGGUUUGUUAAGUCAGAUGUGAAAGCCCGGGGCUCAACCUCGGAAUAGCAUUUGAAACUGGCAGACUAGAGUACUGUAGAGGGGGGUAGAAUUUCAGGUGUAGCGGUGAAAUGCGUAGAGAUCUGAAGGAAUACCGGUGGCGAAGGCGGCCCCCUGGACAGAUACUGACACUCAGAUGCGAAAGCGUGGGGAGCAAACAGGAUUAGAUACCCUGGUAGUCCACGCCGUAAACGAUGUCUACUUGGAGGUUGUGGCCUUGAGCCGUGGCUUUCGGAGCUAACGCGUUAAGUAGACCGCCUGGGGAGUACGGUCGCAAGAUUAAAACUCAAAUGAAUUGACGGGGGCCCGCACAAGCGGUGGAGCAUGUGGUUUAAUUCGAUGCAACGCGAAGAACCUUACCUACUCUUGACAUCCAGAGAACUUUCCAGAGAUGGAUUGGUGCCUUCGGGAACUCUGAGACAGGUGCUGCAUGGCUGUCGUCAGCUCGUGUUGUGAAAUGUUGGGUUAAGUCCCGCAACGAGCGCAACCCUUAUCCUUGUUUGCCAGCGAGUAAUGUCGGGAACUCCAGGGAGACUGCCGGUGAUAAACCGGAGGAAGGUGGGGACGACGUCAAGUCAUCAUGGCCCUUACGAGUAGGGCUACACACGUGCUACAAUGGCGCAUACAGAGGGCAGCAAGCUAGCGAUAGUGAGCGAAUCCCAAAAAGUGCGUCGUAGUCCGGGUUGGAGUCUGCAACUCGACUCCAUGAAGUCGGAAUCGCUAGUAAUCGUGGAUCAGAAUGCCACGGUGAAUACGUUCCCGGGCCUUGUACACACCGCCC
RNAcentral lists this ribosomal RNA (1409 nucleotides) under uncultured Vibrio sp. Its description in RNAcentral is "bacterial SSU rRNA". It matches the Rfam family "Bacterial small subunit ribosomal RNA". The record is from RNAcentral. Lineage: Bacteria; Pseudomonadati; Pseudomonadota; Gammaproteobacteria; Vibrionales; Vibrionaceae.